RNAcentral lists this ribosomal RNA (586 nucleotides) under Aspergillus sclerotiorum. RNAcentral's name for it is "eukaryotic LSU rRNA". The stretch from base 218 to 371 matches the Rfam family "5.8S ribosomal RNA". The record is from RNAcentral. Lineage: Eukaryota; Fungi; Ascomycota; Eurotiomycetes; Eurotiales; Aspergillaceae.
GAACCUGGCGGAAGGGACAUUACUGAAGUGUGGGUCCCUCGGGGCCCAACCUCCCACCCGUGUAUACCGUACCUUGUUGCUUCGGCGGGCCCGCCGCGCAAGCGGCCGCCGGGGGGGCGUCAAACCCCCCUCCCUAGGCGAGCGCCCGCCGGAGACACCAACGUGAACACUGUCUGAAGUUUUGUUGUCUGAGUUCGAUUGUAUCGCAAUCAGUUAAAACUUUCAACAAUGGAUCUCUUGGUUCCGGCAUCGAUGAAGAACGCAGCGAAAUGCGAUAAUUAAUGUGAAUUGCAGAAUUCAGUGAAUCAUCGAGUCUUUGAACGCACAUUGCACCCCCUGGUAUUCCGGGGGGUAUGCCUGUCCGAGCGUCAUUGCUGCCCUCAAGCACGGCUUGUGUGUUGGGUCGUCGUCCCCCCCGGGGACGGGCCCGAAAGGCAGCGGCGGCACCGCGUCCGGUCCUCGAGCGUAUGGGGCUUUGUCACCCGCUCUUGUAGGCCCGGCCGGCGCUGGCCGACGCUGAAAAGCAACCAACUAUUUCUCCAGGUUGACCUCGGAUCAGGUAGGGAUACCCGCUGAACUUAACAUU